GUUGUUGUUGUUGUUGUUGUGGUAUUGAAGCAUUCACUAUUUCUUUUCUUUUUUUACAGGAAAGUCACUUGAAAAUGUUAGUUGUCAGGCUCUAAUCCUAUUUAAACAAGUUGCAGCAGCACACUCAAACAUUCAAGGAAGGAAAAUGAAGUAGUCCAGAUAAUAGGGUUUGCAAUAAAAUUUACAAGACUGGACAACUUAAUAGCAAUCAGUUUUGAGCAACUAUAGAGUUCUGCAAUAAAAUUUGACGAGCUAAAAAAGAUGCAGUUACUCAUUCUCUUAGAUAGGUUGUGGAAAAAUAUUAUUUCAUCUUUUUAUUUUUUGUGGAAUAUCAUAAAUACUAGAACCUAUAUUAUACAUGUAUUGUAUAGGAAAUCUUCUAAUUUUCUCUGUUUAGGUUCCGAUACGCGCACCGUCGCAGUGGAAAAAAACUACGUGAACACUUGGUAUGUGUGGCCUGUGCAUUAGCUCGGGCAUCAUCUCUCUAGUGUAUAUAUAUAUAAAACAAGUAUGUAUGUACUACAAGGGCCUCCGACCUUUUGCACCAUUCUAGGAAAUUCCUGCAAAACAAGUACUAAGGAACUGUUCUACAUUCUAAGCCUUUGCCUGCGGAUGCUAGAGAAGCAAGCAUAUCAUGUACACGUCUUGCACCAAAAACUCAAGAUCAAAACAUAAAGAAAUUGGUGAUGCUGUUAUUUUCAAACUAUUUUAUAAUGAGGCAUAAUUUUAUAAAGACUUCCAAAAGCUUGAAAUUAUAACUUUUUAUGCUUUAUACAUUGGCCAAAUUUGCUAGCUGGUCUAGAUAUUGAGUUUGAAGAGUAAAUAAGACGAUGAAUGUUGUAAAGGGCAAUGUAAAUAUGCCUGACAACUAUCCAACUUCUUAAACUAACUUAAUUACCUCGUAUUAGUUACAUUAUAUGACGUCAAUGAUUUUUUUUUGAAUAUUUUAAUGGAUGAAUAUUUACCUUCUUUUUUUUUUUGUAGGUCUGCAUGGUACAAGUAAAGCAGCAUAUGAUGCGUGCCUAGCAGGUAGGUUUCAUAUCCCC
RNAcentral lists this long non-coding RNA (1046 nucleotides) under Nicotiana tabacum (common tobacco). RNAcentral describes it as "long non-coding RNA (NTAB_LNC002264)". The record is from RNAcentral. Lineage: Eukaryota; Viridiplantae; Streptophyta; Magnoliopsida; Solanales; Solanaceae.